GCCAGGUGCAGUGGUGCACACCUGUAAUCCCAGCUACUUAGGAGGCUGAGGCAGGAGGAUUUCAAUCUAAGGCCAGCCUCAGCAAUUUGUGAGAACCCGCCUCAA
Molecule: small RNA, 105 nt
Filed under: Marmota monax (woodchuck)
Lineage: Eukaryota; Metazoa; Chordata; Mammalia; Rodentia; Sciuridae
Source: RNAcentral